Hyaena hyaena (striped hyena) is the source of this 393-nucleotide long non-coding RNA. RefSeq lists it as uncharacterized. The transcript is spliced from 4 exons. The record is from RefSeq and is a predicted model, not a curated record. Lineage: Eukaryota; Metazoa; Chordata; Mammalia; Carnivora; Hyaenidae.
CUCCCUAACCCCACACCUUCAGACCUCCUCCUCCCCUCCACCCGCGGCUGCCGGAGCCCCCACACGCCGGUUUUACUUCAUGCAGAGUAGUAGAAGAGAGGACAAUACCUCAUCACUAAAAGCAUCCUAUGAGGAAACGAAGGUUAAAAAAGGCUGCACAUCUAGUGAGCAGCAGAGCCCAGAUGUGAAGUCUAAGUAACUUUCCAGCAGUCAUAUGGGCUAUCCUGAGAAUUCAUGAACUGUUGACUCCUGGAGGCCAUCAGUCUUCUGGGGAGAUAUGGAAGAGGACUUCUGAAAACAGAAUGGUUUUCUGAGCUGGAUCAUUCUCAUAGUCCCUUUCAACUUUGACUUUACAGAUUCCUUUUUUUCCCUUUGUGAUCACUCAGGAUUCUU